GGCUGCUCGAGCAACUCACUACCAGCUGCUGGAUCUCUCAACGGCCUCCUGCUGCAUGCUGGGAUACGAUGUGCGCGCUUUGACGUCGCAUUCCACCAGCAGAUGGAGGUAUUCAGUUUCAGUACAGGAAAUAACAGUUGAAAGAGAAGAUGCUGCAUCACUGGACCAGAUUGGAUAAAAGACAAUAUUGAGCCACUUGAGGGCCUUUCAAUUUGAGACACUGAAGAAUUAAUUUGUCAUCUUAUUAGCUGAGGUUGUCGUUGGCUUUAUGAGUUCUGCCAAUAAAGCAAUAAAGGGAAACCCAUUUCAGGAUUCUGUUGUAAUAAAUAAAGGCCAAUAAAUAAAAGCUUUUGGAAUAUAAUCAUGAUCCCUGAUAUGUGUAGAAAAGACAGGAAUCCUGCAUUCAUUUAUUUUUGUUAUGACUUUUGUCAUACCCAUCCCACAUGCAAAAUGUCCAGUUUCAACUCAGUAAUGCUGGGCGUGAUGCUGUGAGUGGGUGAACGUCUGAGUUAUGCCAAUUAUGGGGGCUGUUAUCAUGUUGAUACAGUAUUAGUUUGUUGUUUUCUCGUUUUCUUUGUAGUCCACCUAAUGACAAAAAUAAGAAUAAGUAACUUUGUUGCUUAGUCAGGUAUAUUUAUUUUGAAUUAAUUUAUAAAUAAUAAUGCAAAGAUACAAAGACAGAAGCCUUCACACAAGAAAAAUACAUCAGGUACAGUCCAAACAGAAGCGUAAUUCAUCUUUUAUAUAGCAAACAUUUACAGCCAACUUGGAUUCGUUUGGUCCGAUUUGACAAUUUAAAUAUAAAACACACAAUUUAAAGAACAAGAUUUGAACCGAGUAAUUUUUAAAGGGUUAGUUCAAAAAGUACCAACUUGCCAAGCUGUGCUGCAGAAUGCUAGAUUUUGCAUAUUCUAUGAGCUUAAUGUUUCCUGUUGCUGCGAGCAUACUUUGGGAGCGUAGUGCACUCCUUCACGGCAGUAAAAUGCAUGUGCAGUGGUUGGAAUAGUAUCACUGUUCUCAGAAACAAAAAAACAUUAUAUAACAAUUUAGCUGCCAUUGUAUGAGGCUGAAACCAGCAGCGGGCUGUCCUCAAAAUGCACACAAAGGAUUCAUGGAGUGAGUGACUUUGCACAACUAUUACUCGGUUUCAUCUUUCUGAUUCAGUUUGUGUUGUAACAUGUCUCUCUCUCGCUCUCUCUCUCUCUCUCUGACUGCACAAUAUUUGCUUCUGAUUUUUCUUAUUUCAAGGUAUUUUUUGAGAUAUUUUGUAAUUCAGCAUCACGCAGGAAAGCGAUUCCUGGGUAGGUAUGUCGGUCGCAUCUCUUUAAGUUAUGAUGGAAUAAUUUAUUCAAUAAUGUUCAAUGUAAUCAAUGUAUUCAUACGUUCAUAGUUGAUAUAUGAAAGAACUCGUACCCCAGUACAAUAUUUUGAAAAACAUGGGAAAGGUUUCUUCAACAGUUGGAGGAAUAAAAUGCUUAAAUAUUCUCUUAUUUAUGGCUGUUUUGUACUUUGGCUUUCUGAUUCAACUGUUAAUUAAUACUAAAAGACUAUACAGUGUGAAUGAUAGACUUACUAUAAAACUAAAUUUAAUAAAAUCUAAAUAUUACCGUCAAUAGUUCUGUUAAAAAACGUGUUAACUUCUAAUGGCAUGUGGCUGCUCAUAGAAAAGUAGAUAGUAAGUGUAUUUUCUAAGACAUAAAAGUCUGUAAUCGAAAUAAAAGUUUUUUUCAGGGCCUGAAAUGCUUGUGAACAAAGACCAAAGAAAAUAUAACGAAUUAACGUAAUGAAAUAUAUUAUUUAGGGCAUAGUAUUGGAAUUACAUUACUGAUUCACUGGUGAAUCUAAAUAGCAAAGUAAGUUUGCUAUUCUACACUGCAAGUUGUUCCAAUUCCACAAUCACAACAAAAACAUUUUAUGGAGCGUAAACAAACAUUGCUCUGUCGUAAACUCUUGUCUCUGUAAACACUGGUAUAAUAGCAAUGAAUGCCUUAUCAUUGAUGCAUAAAGAGGUGGCAGUAACAGGCGACACAUCAGAGCUAUCUACAUGAGCACAAAAAAAGAUCAAAACAGAAAACGGACCUACAAAGAUUUCAGGCUCUCUUUAAAGUCUGAGGUCCAGCAGAAAAUAUCGAGCCACAUGACAUGUUACAGCGCAGUAUUUCUCAGUGCAUUUUCUCACUUUGACAUCAUAUCACAUAAAGCACGAAUAACAUUAUUCCUACCAUACAGCAAUAUACAAAGCUAGUCUAGAUUUACCAUGACAUAAUUUACCUCUGUUGGUGCUGCACAGAAAAUAAGCACAUACAGUAUUAUGCAGUGUAAAACCAAUCAAAAGCUCCUACAUGUGCAUAAAAGGCUGAUAACCAUUUUUCCGAUGCUUUUAGGCUUCACUUAGCAGAUACAUUAGUCCACACAUGACGCUGAACAAAGGACAUUACCGAACAAGAAACUCAAAACGCUGACAAAGUCCACUCCACCCUUGAAAGAAAAUAAAACCCAAGCCGUAGAGGGAGAAACGUGUAGAUGUCCAUGCCGUCACAAAAUUAUGAAGAAAAGAAAAGAUACAAAAUUAAGAAAUGUGAUUUAUUUUAAAAAAAAUAGGGAAAAUCUUUAAGCUCAACAAUUUAGUUUUAACAUUUUUGCUGACUGACAUUUUUAAAGUUACAUUAUGUGAGAAUAAUGGUGGGAUACGCUGGCACUAGAGGACCUUGGCACACAUCAACAAAGACAAUGUUCCAGUUACAGAAUUCCCUUUUUUAGUGUAAAAUAUUCAUGAAUUUUAGAAAUAACUAUAUUUGCACGAUAUUGUGAUAACACGCACGUUUCAAAUGUACUCAUGUGAGAAUCCCACUUGACUGUCCUUGCAUUUUUUUAUUAAUACACUUUUCAUCUGCAAAUAAUGCAUUAAUUACACACGUUUUUCUAUAUCUAUUUCCUCCAACCUGCUGUCAGUAGCAGAAAGAGCAGCAGCGACGUGAUUGACACUCCUUUGAUAACCACCGUUCCAAAAUACAAAUGUUUCCCAAAAUCCAGAAAAACUGUAACCGUGGACUACUAACAAAAUACGGACUGAUUAGGUAGAAACUCUUUUUCAAAUCUGUAUAUUUUCAAAAAUAACUAUAAGUUAAUUGAGCUUUUUUAAAUAUAUUUCUUUUUUUCUUUUUUCUUUUUUACAAGAAGGCAAGUUUAAUCAAAGACAGGGCAAACAGGUCCAGUGCACAUAACAGUCACAGGGGGGUUUGGUACGUAUACUCUCGUAAAUCAGUGUUUUAAAUAAAUAUAUUAAGUGCAAUAUGAGGGAUGAGACAGUUAUGAUCCACUCCCAAACACAGUGGACUUUUUAAAGAGCAAAUGCUUAAACCAAAUAAAUGCAGAACCAA
Molecule: long non-coding RNA, 3380 nt
Organism: Gasterosteus aculeatus aculeatus (three-spined stickleback)
Lineage: Eukaryota; Metazoa; Chordata; Actinopteri; Perciformes; Gasterosteidae
Source: RefSeq, a predicted model, not a curated record